RNAcentral lists this ribosomal RNA (352 nucleotides) under Klebsiella sp. Its description in RNAcentral is "bacterial SSU rRNA". It matches the Rfam family "Bacterial small subunit ribosomal RNA", at positions 1 to 349 of the family's 1533-position model. Lineage: Bacteria; Pseudomonadati; Pseudomonadota; Gammaproteobacteria; Enterobacterales; Enterobacteriaceae. The record is from RNAcentral.
UAAGUGAAGAGUUUGAUCCUGGCUCAGAGUGAACGCUGGCGGUAGGCCUAACACAUGCAAGUCGAACGGCAGCACAGGAGAGCUUGCUCUCUGGGUGGCGAGUGGCGGACGGGUGAGGAAUACAUCGGAAUCUACUCUGUCGUGGGGGAUAACGUAGGGAAACUUACGCUAAUACCGCAUACGACCUACGGGUGAAAGCAGGGGAUCUUCGGACCUUGCGCGAUUGAAUGAGCCGAUGUCGGAUUAGCUAGUUGGUGGGGUAACGGCCCACCUAGGCGACGAUCCCUAGCUGGUCUGAGAGGAUGACCAGCCACACUGGAACUGAGACACGGUCCAGACUCCUACGGGAGGC